GAUGAACGCUGGCGGCGUGCUUAAUACAUGCAAGUCGAGCGGACAGACGAGGAGCUUGCGCGUUUGACGUUAGCGGCGGACGGGGGUAUAACACGUGUAUAACCUACUUGUCAGUGUGGGAUAACUACGGGAAACCGGAGCAAACACGGGAGAAUCUACUGAACCGCAUGGUUGAUUAGUGAAAGACGGCUUUGCUGUAACUUAUAGCUGGAUCUGCGCCGCAUUAGGUAGUUGUGAAGGUAACGGCUUACGAAGGCAACGAUGCGUAGCCGACCUGAUUGGGGGAUCGGCCGCACGGGAACGGGGACGCGGUCCAGACUCCUACGAGAGGCAGCAGUAGGGAAUCUUCGGCAGUGGGCGAAAGCCUGGCGGAACAGCGGCGCGUGAGUGAUGAAGAUCUUCGGAUCGUGAAACUCUGUUAUGAGGGGAAAACAAAUGUGUAAGGAACUGUACACGUCUUGACGGUAAUUGAUCAGAAAGCAACGGCUAACUACGUG
This 497-nucleotide ribosomal RNA is filed under the name uncultured bacterium. RNAcentral describes it as "partial 16S ribosomal RNA". It matches the Rfam family "Bacterial small subunit ribosomal RNA", at positions 28 to 507 of the family's 1533-position model. The record is from RNAcentral.